Molecule: long non-coding RNA, 2226 nt
Organism: Chrysemys picta bellii (western painted turtle)
Lineage: Eukaryota; Metazoa; Chordata; Testudines; Emydidae
Source: Ensembl
AACGCCUCACUUACCGGAGUGGGGAUCCAGACGCGCCGCGGCGUGAACCCUAAGGAGCUGCCCGCACUGUGCCCAUUCCGUCUGCUUCUCCCAAUCGUCUCCUCCUUGCCCGCUUUCACUGCAUCCCUAGCGGGACUCCCUCGGCCCCAGAGAGGGGGUGCUGGGACGUGGGCACCCAGAGAGGCGAUGCCUGCGAGUGGAGCUGGGAGGCUGGUACCCGGAGCAGAUGCUGCCGGAGGAUGCGGGAGGAGGAAGAUGCUGGCAGCUGGUGGCGCGCGCAGACGGCUGCGAGCAGGAAGCGGGGCUGAGCAGAUGCCGCCUGGCUUGCUGGCCCUGUACCAGCUACUGCGUGAGCUGGGCUAGACUCCUCGCUGGGAGAUGAAGCGGGUUUUUAACCAUUCUGACGUUGGCUGGGACAUACCAAUAAAAUCCUUCCCCACGUCUCUGUCUCCCAGGCUCAGCUGCUCUCAUUAGUGACAACCUCAAGGACUGCAGCGCUGGGACCGCAUCCAUUCAGGAGAGAGAGGAGCAAGAGGAGUUACUCCAGCUCGACGCCGUCAGGAGUGUGUGUGGGGGGUUUGGCCCCCUGAGUUCCUUCACCAUUGCGUACCCACUGUCUGUGCAAACACAGCACCCGGGCACCUGCCCCUCCUCUGCCGGGGCUAGGUCCUGCUGCGCCUGAAAUCACGGGGAGACUCCCACUGGCUUCAAUGGGAGAAGGACGGAUCCGUGGGCCGUUAGCAGCAGCUCUAAGGGAGCCUGGAGAUCGCGGCUAACUGCUGGACUCCUUCAGCUGCGUCCUGAUGGGCGAUCCCUGGCUUUGGGCCCCCUGGACGCGGCACCCCACAUUUAAAGGGGUUCACACCACCUCCUCCUCGGCGGAGCUGCGGCUCAUUCAGCCCCUCGCACUGGCAAUGUGGCUGGGACACAGAUCCAGACCCAGCAUCUCGUGGGCUAAUGAGCAGCCAUUGGAUCCCGGCUCGCCGGGGCUUCCGGGAAAGCGCCGCAUUGAUUGUGCUCUCAGUGCACUGCAGGCCAGGCUGGAUGUGCAACGAUAUCACUCAACAGCAAUCAAAUCAUCCUCCUGGUUAAUAACGCUCCCGGCCUUUCCCUGCACUCCAGCCCCAGCCAGCGCCCGGCGGCUGCCCCCUCUGGGCUGCGGGCGUGGAAAGCAAUGGCCCGGAGGAGACAGCAGGAGCAGCGGAAGCAGCAGAGAUGGAGCGUGAAGGGGCCGGGGAGCCGCCCGGGGCAGGAGCUGCGGAGCAGAAGGUUCUGGCGCGCGUUGGCCCAGGGCUGUUGGGAUGGACGGAGACGGGGCCGUCACUAGGAGCGGGACCAGGGGGAGUCGCGCCGUUGUCUCCACUUUGGCUCAGGGCAUGGAUGAAGAGACAGACACAGAGUGAGAGGGGAAACUGAGGCACGGGGCAGGCCCAGGGUAACCCAACUCUCCUGAGUCCCAGUCUGGUGCCAUGUCCGUUUGAUGACAUUGCUUCUCCACAGUCUAUAGUGUCACCCACAGCCCAUCACCCCCAAAACUACACCUAGAGCGUUGCCCAGAGCAUCACCCACAGCCCGUCACUCCCCAAACUACACCCAUAGUGUCACCCACAGCCCAUCACCCCCAACCUACACCCCAUACCACCAUCCACAGUCCUCCACCCCCAAACAUACACCCCACAUCACCCCAAACCUAUACCCCCAACCUAUUCUCUCAGACACGUACACGACACAGAAACACCCCACAACAGGGGCCGAAUCCUGCCCUCAUUCAGGCUGCCGUGGGGCUGAGGGGCAGCGCUGCAGGCAGCAGGUGGGUCCCCUCUGCUCCCUGGACUCUACGUGUGUGAGCUGCUCCCACGGGGAGAGCAGUGAGGGGCCAGCGGGUGCCGCUCACUUCACUUGCCUUUUAGGGCCCCGGCUGCUGAAGCCCCUUGGCUGUGAGCAGAGGGGAGCAGGGUGUGUGUGUGUGUGGUGGGGGGGGGGGAUGGGCCCAGAUCACACCCUUCUCAGAGCUCGUCUGGCUGGUGCCGGGGGCUGGCGGGUCUCUUGGGCAGGUUCCAGACACUGGCAGGGGGAUACUCUGCCCCCGGGCAGGCUCCCCGUGCCCCCCGCACAGGCUGGGCCAGGGGCUGUUGGCGGGGGGAGCUGUGUGGAUACAGCCAGGCUGCCCCAGAGUGAGCCCACCAGGAUCCCCCUGAGGAUGCUCCUGAGCUGGGCUGGGCUGCU